UCACGCACAGGGCAAACCACUUGAAAAGGUGGGACGCAAAGCCUCCGGCCUAAACCCAAUCAGGUAGGUAGCGGGGUUACCGAU
RNAcentral lists this non-coding RNA (84 nucleotides) under Vibrio hippocampi. RNAcentral describes it as "c-di-GMP-I". It matches the Rfam family "c-di-GMP-I riboswitch aptamer". From Rfam's summary of the family: GEMM was predicted in a large-scale screen for bacterial structured RNA regulatory elements. Genes associated with GEMM are involved in a diverse array of functions, including chemotaxis regulation, signal transduction, secretion and chitin. The record is from RNAcentral. Lineage: Bacteria; Pseudomonadati; Pseudomonadota; Gammaproteobacteria; Vibrionales; Vibrionaceae.